GACGUAGGGGGCGAGCGUUGUCCGGAUUUAUUGGGCGUAAAGCGCACGCAGGCGGCCACGAAAGUCGGAUGUGAAAACCUGAGGCUCAACCUCGGGCCUGCAUUCGAUACUGCGUGGCUCGAGGCAGGUAGGGGAGAUCGGAAUUCCCGGUGUAGCGGUGAAAUGCGCAGAUAUCGGGAGGAACACCGGUGGCGAAGGCGGAUCUCUGGGCCUGUCCUGACGCUCAUGUGCGAAAGCUGGGGGAGCAAACAGG
RNAcentral lists this ribosomal RNA (253 nucleotides) under uncultured bacterium. Its description in RNAcentral is "partial 16S ribosomal RNA". It matches the Rfam family "Bacterial small subunit ribosomal RNA", at positions 524 to 776 of the family's 1533-position model. The record is from RNAcentral.